RNAcentral lists this ribosomal RNA (630 nucleotides) under Triticum aestivum (bread wheat). Its description in RNAcentral is "partial small subunit ribosomal RNA". The record is from RNAcentral. Lineage: Eukaryota; Viridiplantae; Streptophyta; Magnoliopsida; Poales; Poaceae.
AUGAGCCAUACAAUGAAGCUAUGGAAGAGAGUUAUUGAGCACCGCUUAAGAAGAAUGACAAGCGUGACCAAAAAUCAGUUUGGUUUCAUGCCUGGGAGGUCGACCAUGGAAGCCAUUUUCUUGGUACGACAACUUAUGGAGAGAUAUAGGGAGCAAAAGAAGGACUUGCAUAUGGUGUUCAUUGACUUGGAGAAGGCCUAUGAUAAGAUACCGCGGAAUGUCAUGUGGUGGGCCUUGGAGAAAAACAAAGUCCCAGCAAAGUACAUUACCCUCAUCAAGGACAUGUACGAUAAUGUUGUGACAAGUGUUCGAACAAGUGAUGUCAACACUGAUGACUUCCCGAUUAAGAUAGGACUGCAUCAGGGGUCAGCUUUGAACCCUUAUCUUUUUGCAUUGGUGAUGGAUGAGGUCACAAGGGAUAUACAAGGAGAUAUCCCAUGGUGUAUGCUCUUUGCGGAUGAUGUGGUGCUAGUUGACGAUAGUCGGAAGGGGGUAAAUAGGAAGUUAGAGUUAUGGACACAAACCUUGGAAUCGAAAGGGUUUAGGCUUAGUAGAACUAAAAUCGAGUACAUGAUGUGCGGUUUCAGUACUACUAGGUGUGAGGAGGAGGAGGUUAGCCUUGAUGGCUAG